RNAcentral lists this ribosomal RNA (228 nucleotides) under uncultured bacterium. Its description in RNAcentral is "partial 16S ribosomal RNA". It matches the Rfam family "Bacterial small subunit ribosomal RNA", at positions 28 to 258 of the family's 1533-position model. The record is from RNAcentral.
GACGAACGCUGGCGGCGUGCUUAACACAUGCAAGUCGAGCGGUAAGGCCCUUUCGGAGGUACACGAGCGGCGAACGGGUGAGUAACACGUGGGUGACCUGCCCUCAGCUCUGGGAUAAGCCUGGGAAACCGGGUCUAAUACUGGAUAUGACUCCAUGACGCAUGUUGUGGGNGGAAAGCCUUGUGCGGCUGAGGAUGGGCCCGCGGCCUAUCAGCUCGUUGGUGGGGG